UCUCAGACUGGAUACCAGAUAAAAGGCUGAAGUGGAAUAGCUCAGACAGACGGAACGAGUAAAUAAAUGUCUGCAAAAGUUGCUGUCCAUGUGACCCUUCUGUCUUGCUGGAAGGUGACUUUGUGCAUCCACUCAAGUUUGCCUGAGCUUUUGGCCCACUUGCAAGUACUCAGCUUCUUCUGCUUCAUUUGCAAGUUUCUGCAUUUGAGCCUCAAUGAAAUGGCAGCCCCUCUCCUGAGGAGGAAACACAGUACCUACCCCGCACUUGGCCUGGCAGCUCAGUCCAGCUGUGCACCAGCCCAGCAGCACAAAGUCCACGCUCACUCUUCCUAAGCAAGGACCAACGCCUUGGGCCCAAAGCCAAGCUCUUAGCCACAAAUACGGAGAAGAAGCACAGAGGAUAACAAACUCUGCAUUUAAGACCACCCUUGACCCAUGCUUUCACCAGCACCAUCACUCCAGUAUUGAACUGUGGAGGCUUCCAUGCAGAUAAAACUGUAAGGUAAGCCUGGGCACACCCUGCUUUACUGCCCACAGAAAGUGAGCAUCACUGGUGAUCCAAUGUGCAAAGAAUGAGUCCUCUUUUAGUACAUUUUCUUUUUCUUUCUGUCUUUCUUUCUUUUGCCUUCAAAUAUAAAUGGCAGAGGGUGGGAAGAUUUGGAAAUACAGAGGAUCAGCUGUAUUUUUACUAAGUGCUGUGCAUUUUAGGCUUCCCUGUAAAAUAUAAUGAUAGAUUUCUUCAAUAAUAAUUACAGUGGGAAAAAUGCUUCAUCCAAAUUGCAUAAGACCAGCUUUAUCCAGGCAUGUGGUUUUAUAAGAAUUUAAUUGUAGACGAUCUAAAAAAGACCACAAGCUUUUGUUUAGUGAUAAGAAGGGUCAAAAAAUUUAAAGGAAACCCAAACCAUAAACCCCUCUCUGAAGGCUUUUUUCUUCCACCACAGUGCACUAGUGAUUCUCGCUAGAAUCAGCGUGUGGUUCUCUUAUCUUGUGGCAGGAAGAUAGGUCCCUGGGGAAAGCAGUAAGCUGUCUGAGUCUUUGAGUCAAGGGAUGGAAAACAUGGAGGGUGAUUUUCAGAAUAUCUGACCAUAAUCCAUCCUUAAAUGUUCCCAUAGUUCUGUGCAGUUUGAAUUCCCUUAAUUGUGUGAUGGAUUUACAGUUCAACAUUUCAGGUAUAAUUACCUCUAUUAUCGAAAACAAAGGAGACACGUGCCAGUCUGACAGAGUAAAGACGUAGCCUCAAGGAAAUGGAUUAGUUCAUCUUUGUCUCUUCCCCUCACACAUGCACAUGCAGAUAUUUCUGCAUGAAUCCCUGUCUACCUACUUGUCAGUGCAU
Molecule: long non-coding RNA, 1333 nt
Filed under: Anser brachyrhynchus (Pink-footed goose)
Lineage: Eukaryota; Metazoa; Chordata; Aves; Anseriformes; Anatidae
Description: lncRNA (ENSABRG00000008446.1)
Source: RNAcentral